This 460-nucleotide ribosomal RNA is filed under the name uncultured bacterium. Its description in RNAcentral is "bacterial SSU rRNA". It matches the Rfam family "Bacterial small subunit ribosomal RNA", at positions 87 to 543 of the family's 1533-position model. The record is from RNAcentral.
UACUGGGAGUGGCGCACGGGUGCGUAACGCGUACACAAUCUACCUCUAAGCGGGGGACACCUCCUGGAAACGGGGAUUAAUACCGCAUAAUAUGCCGAGGUCGCAUGACUUUGGUAUUAAAGCAGCAAUGCACUUAGAGAUGAGUGUGCGUCCCAUUACGUAGUUGGUGAGGUAACGGCUCACCAAGCCUAUGAUGGGUAGCCGGUCUGAGAGGAUGGUCGGCCACACGGGCACUGAUACACGGGCCCGACUCCUACGGGAGGCAGCCGUAAGGAAUAUUGGUCAAUGGUGGAAACACUGAACCAGCCAUGCCUCGUGGAGGAAUAAGGUCCUACGGAUUGUAAACUCCUUUUGACGAGGAAGAAAGUGUUAGAUUUAUCUAAUUUUGACGGUACUCGUAGAAUAAGCACCGGCUAACUCCGUGCCAGCAGCCGCGGUAAUACUGAGGGUGCAAGCGUUA